CGCUGGCGGCGCGCCUAACACAUGCAAGUCGAACGAGUGGAUGGUCUUCGGACCUGAAGCUAGUGGCGGACGGGUGAGUAACACGUGAGGAACCUGCCUUUCAGAGUGGGAUACCGUUUGGAAACGAACGUUAAUACCGCAUAAUGUAUAUUGAUCGCAUGGUCGAUAUACCAAAGAUUUAUCGCUCUGAGAUGACCUCGCGUCUGAUUAGCUAGUUGGUAGGGUAACGGCCUACCAAGGCGACGAUCAGUAGCCGGACUGAGAGGUUGAACGGCCACAUUGGAACUGAGAUACGGUCCAGACUCCUACGGGAGGCAGCAGUGGGGAAUAUUGGGCAAUGGGCGAAAGCCUGACCCAGCGACGCCGCGUGAGGGAAGAAGGUCUUCGGAUUGUAAACCUUUGUUGACAGGGAAGAAGAAAGUGACGGUACCUGUAAAGAAAGCCACGGCUAACUACGUG
Molecule: ribosomal RNA, 459 nt
Filed under: uncultured bacterium
Lineage: Bacteria
Description: bacterial SSU rRNA
Rfam family: Bacterial small subunit ribosomal RNA
Source: RNAcentral